This 225-nucleotide unclassified non-coding RNA is filed under the name Hevea brasiliensis (rubber tree). The record is from RNAcentral. Lineage: Eukaryota; Viridiplantae; Streptophyta; Magnoliopsida; Malpighiales; Euphorbiaceae.
AAAAAAAAAAAAAAACAAAAUGAAUAGAAACAUAAAACCAAACUCUGAUCAAUGAAUAAACCAUUUCUAGUAGUGUACCAACCAAACACCAGAUCUAAAUUGCAACACAGAAUUAGAUGCACGCAGAAUGAGGACAACCAAUACUCACAGACAUGAGAUAUUUCAAAAGAUAGAAUAUUAUAUUAUAUUUAUAAAAACAAUCAGAUACAUAAUAUCAAAAUGCCA